UACGUAGGGGGCAAGUGUUGUCCGGAUUUAUUGGGCGUAAAGAGCGUGUAGGCGGCCAUACAGGUCCGUUGUGAAAACUGGAGGCUUAACCUCCAGACGUCGAUGGAAACCGUAUGGCUAGAGUCCGGAAGAGGAGAGUGGAAUUCCUGGUGUAGCGGUGAAAUGCGCAGAUAUCAGGAAGAACACCCGUGGCGAAGGCGGCUCUCUGGGACGGUACUGACGCUGAGACGCGAAAGCGUGGGGAGCGAACAGG
This 253-nucleotide ribosomal RNA is filed under the name uncultured bacterium. Its description in RNAcentral is "partial 16S ribosomal RNA". It matches the Rfam family "Bacterial small subunit ribosomal RNA", at positions 524 to 776 of the family's 1533-position model. The record is from RNAcentral.